CGCCCACAGUAACCAGCCCACUACCGUGGAUUCCUGGCCGUGUGUGGAGACGGCUCUGCAGUGCCGGACAUCUCCCCUCCCCAGAUGCCAAGCUUCUUUUCAAGUUUGAAAGUGAAUAUGGUUUUGUGAGUGAAUACCGCAGACAAAAUUCACAGUACUUCUCCGCAGUUUCUACGUGU
Molecule: long non-coding RNA, 179 nt
Filed under: Capra hircus (goat)
Lineage: Eukaryota; Metazoa; Chordata; Mammalia; Artiodactyla; Bovidae
Description: lncRNA (ENSCHIG00000003546.1)
Source: RNAcentral